This 395-nucleotide long non-coding RNA is filed under the name Bos taurus (domestic cattle). RNAcentral's name for it is "long non-coding RNA NONBTAT001821". The record is from RNAcentral. Lineage: Eukaryota; Metazoa; Chordata; Mammalia; Artiodactyla; Bovidae.
AUUUUAAAAUGCACUUUCUACUAGUGUCUAUAUGGAAAAAAGUAGAUGCUAAAUACCUCAAGAGCCCAAGGUAACAGGCAACAUUGGGAAGUUGUCACAACAUGCUUAAAGAUGACUAUAUACAAUUAUUUGCUAAUCUAUUUCUUCAGAACUGGAACUAAUACAACUGUCUUUUUCUGUCUUUACUUUGAUUAGAAAGUUCUUUUUCUGCUCUUACAUAAAACAUCUUUCAACUUUUUGAUUGAUUCAGUAACUUCACAGAAGUAUAACAGUAAGUGAAAUCCCAAGAAAAAAAUGAAAUUUUUAAUGCUUUUGAUCUCUUGGGAAGCUGGUACACAGACAAAGAAAUUUAAUCUUUUUAUAGUACAAAAAAAAUUCUGAAUUUAGUCCAAAUC